UGCUUGCAAGAAGAAAUUUUAUUACUUUAUCUGAAUUCUGGGUCUCUGUGUAUUUCUUUCUGAGAUUUCUACAACACUAGGAAUGGCCUCUUGGCCAUGGGAACGAGCUUAGAUUUUAUUGCAGCUGUACAGGUAAGAGAUGACCCGAACUAGGAUGAGGACAAGAGAAAGGCACAGGCAUGAACAGCUGGACCACAGCUGGAUCUGAAAGCCCUUCAGAUUACCAAGGAAACACAGGACGGUUGCAUGCAUCCCUCCUCUUCAGCCCUGCCUACCAUUCAGGGCACAUUGCUGGGGAAAUGUUCUCAUUGUGGAAAGAAAUCUCUACAAGCAGCCGAUGAAACAGUAAAGUGCCACUGCUGUGCCUGAGUGGAGUUAUCAUCCAUGGGGAGCACCAGCUCAUAAGGUGUACAAUGCUGAGUGUGUUUUCCUGGAUUGUGGUGCUGAGAGGCAAUUUGUUCAUCAUCUGGGGAGAUAAGCAUUCAACAUCAUUGUCCUUCCUCCUCCAAAGGAACCCUUUGUUUUCAUGUUAGUUUUGCUCUUCCUCACGCCAGCCAUUCCAUCUCCUUCAAGUGCAAGAGGACCUUGUGGGAAGAACCUCAGGGAAUGUUGCUCAGUCCAGCCUGGGAAAUGAAGGCAGGCAGCAUGACUAGAGGCAUCCUGCAGAGCUGCCCUAAGCCAGGGAGGCAUUACUCUGUGCCAUUUGAUCUUGUUUCUCUCAUUGUUUUUCUGCCUUUCUAUGGUGCAGCCUUCUUGGUUCCCCAGUUCUCAGGGUGGAACAUGAUCACUGCUACCAGCUUUCAAAUUUACAUGCUGCAGACUAGACACUAGCCAGAAUCUGACCUCUUUCUCCAUCCAAACACAGUGUUCUUCCUGGGCCCAGUUCCUGGAAAGCAGGAGUGGGCUGUACUAUCACAUGCAGCUUCUGCUGCAAACCUCUGAGUGGGGUGAGGGACGGUCAGUUGCCAGAAAAGUGUAGUACACAGAUGAUCCAACAGGUGUUUGUGGCAUUGAUUCAGCUCCACAGAUUCACUCCACAAAUGGAUGACAAGCUCAGAGACUCCUUCUUUGUUGGAACUCACCUUCUAACAAUGAGAUCUGAAAAUAAGUAUUAAUGAAAAAGGGAUUACGGAAGACAGAGAACAUGUAUUUCUAAUUAUGUAGAGCUGCAGUCAGACAUAGGUCCCAAACACUUGUUACUUAUUCUUAGAACUUGUGCUGCCGAAUUAUCUUGAGGAUGCCAACCCUUCCCCCCAAACCUGGUUCCCUUUUCCCUCUUCAGAUUUGUUCCUCUAUAGGCAAUGUCUACCAUGGAUCUGGGGCCUCUACCCUCACUGUUGGAGCUGCUGACCCUCAAAAACAUUGUUCAUAUAUAUUUUACAGAUAUGGAAUUGAGGCUCAGAGAGGCUGAACAAUUUGCUGAAAUCAAACAGAGGAUUGAGAACUGGCAUUCACAUUUUUAUAUCUCUAAAAUAUUAUUUCAUCACAUCACACUGUUCCAUCCAUGUAGAAACACAUCUCAAGACCAAGUUGUUAGUAAGGAGAAGACAGAGGGAGAGUGAUAAAAACAAUGGGCCUGCAAUGAGAAAAGUAGAGACACAUGGAUGGACCAGUGUCUCGCCCACAGCCCAGAUGUGCUGGGCAGUGGAUUGAGUUACCAAGGCUGAAGGACAUGCCCAGAGAUGGCUUGUGAGAGAUAAGGUUUAUUAAGAGAUUAACACAAAAGGAUAGUGUUCAUUGAGACUGACUAGCAGAAAAGGAUAGUCUGGUGGUGGUAAACUGGUCAGGACAGUUACCAGAAGGCCCAGGGAUAGUGGGUCAGAAAGGGAAUUCUCUUGAGCAAAUUUGAAGUAUUGUGGAAUUGCUGGACUACAACACUGCAUGACAUUUUUCCAUACUCAGUUAUUACAGGGAGAGGGUUUUAUAGAUUAAACUACAUAACAGUGAGAUCAUUUGUUGCUUUAUUCUCUUGUAUGUCUAGCAUUCUGAGGAGCUUAGCAUGUGGGCAGGAUGCAGUUUCUACAGAUGACACUAGUUGUCCCAAUUCUCAAUGCCCUCAGGCAAUUCUUAUCUGGACAUUCUGGUCCCUGCCACUUACAAUGUCCCCUUGACUUGGCAAGAGUCUUAGGAACACAAAAGGGUGCUAAAUGCCCUAGUUUUUCUCAGGGAUGAUAUACUCCACCUGCCAUGUGCUUGAAUGCCCUUAUGAUCUUAUCACACUUGUUUUUUGCAAUGUCCCUCAAGCAGCACAUCAAGAUGUACAGUGCAACCAAAUCCCACGGUGACAGUACGGAGAGAAACAAAUCAUAGUAAUCCCAAUUAUACAAGCAUACAAACUGGAUGAAACUUUCCCUCAAGUAGCAGGAAGAAAUUGCUACUAAUUGGAAAUAAGAUCAAACCUGUUUAUCUAUAGCGGUAAUGUGAGUUUGUAAUGUAUACAAAUUAGAGACAUAUUAUGAAUAUUUAUAAAUAUAUAUAAUUUUAUUUUGCAAGUGCCCAGUUACCUCCUUGUGUUGCUGUGAGCUGCCCUAGACCAUCAAAUACAAUAUGCCUUAGCAAAGGCUUAGUCAUAUUUAUUUGUUUCUAUACAAAGUGAAGGAUAUAUAUUUGGUGUCAUCAAAAGAAGGUGAAUUUGAGUUCAAGCUCAUAGAGCAAUUGUCCAGCUGUGUGUGUGAGCAGAGGAUAUUACUCCAGCUUCACAUUUCUGUCUGUUGCAUCAGUGCAGCUGGUUGUAUAUGUCAUGGGAGGACAGUAGAGGAGGACAAAGACAGCUCACUGUAUACUCAAAAUCAAUUUUAGUUUUCCAGGAUUAUCAUCAUACACCAAGCUUUUUGUUGUCUUUGGUCUAUAAGAUUGUUUUCAAUGUGAAUAUUUUGAGAUCUGUAUUCUCCAUUGGUAGUUCUGUGGGAUAAGGCUCAAAUUGGCUCAGGAUGAACUUAGGAUAUUCCUUGUGAUAAUUAUUAUCAGGCACUCAGGCAGAAGAAUCCUUCCUUUAUAACCUCCUGGCUUUCAUUUUUGGGAGGACUGACACAAGGGACAACUCUUGUUCUUUCCUUAUACCUCUUCUUGUCUGAGAGUCUUUCAGAAGGCAUUGCUGAGAAAUCAUCCAGUAGUUAUGUUCUUCAUUUGUUCCUCAUUUCUGGAUUGUUGUUCUGUUGUUGGUCUUAUCUGGUCCCAUAUUAGAGAGGAAGUGACUGACAGUUGAGAGUUGGUGCCACAACCUUUUUACUCACAUUUAAGCAACAGAGGUAGAAGGAGUAGCUCUUAGGCUAAGCUCAGCUAGAGUCCAUUGUUAAGUUAAUUUUAUCUGUUCUUGUGAUGGCUAAUAACUCCAAACAUUGAAUCAGAUUUCUUUGUUAGGAAUUAUACUUCUAUAGGAUGUUUAAAUGAUAACAGUCACCAAGUUUUCAAGGAAAAUAUAGAGCAAAACUAACAAGAGCAAGACAAAUUCAGUUUGUAUAACAGUUUUGAACC
This is a non-coding RNA of Heterocephalus glaber (naked mole-rat), 3474 nucleotides long. The record is from RefSeq and is a predicted model, not a curated record. NCBI's taxonomy places the organism in Eukaryota, Metazoa, Chordata, Mammalia, Rodentia, Bathyergidae.